Molecule: long non-coding RNA, 428 nt
Organism: Poeciliopsis prolifica (blackstripe livebearer)
Lineage: Eukaryota; Metazoa; Chordata; Actinopteri; Cyprinodontiformes; Poeciliidae
Exons: 2
Source: RefSeq, a predicted model, not a curated record
GAGACGUGCAGUUGCUAGUGGAUGGACACGCCAUAAAUGCUAUCAGUGAAUACAUCGAUCAGACACAUGAAGACGACUGGCUGGAUCGACAGUUUCUGGACCUGGAUGAAGAGCUCCAUCUUCAGCCUGCUGGCCAUCGCCAUCGACAGAUAUCUGGCGGUGAAGAUCCCGCUGAGGUCAGUCCGCGCCUCGUCACCGCCUGGGGUUUUAUUUUAUCCUGACAAACACGCAGACAGGGAAAGCUCAUAACUCGGACUGAACUCCUGAACUCCCAGAGGUGGUAUUAUGGCUCUCUGCCCUGGGCGUCAUCGCACGAGGGGGGCAACAUAACAGCUCGGAAGAAAAUUUAAAAAAGCUCUCUCUUCAUUUCUUCCUGAUAUUUGACAGAGUGUUAUUGGAGAUUGUAAUAAAACAUGGCAUAACAAUGA